GACGAACGCUGGCGGCGUGCCUAAUACAUGCAAGUAGAACGCUGAAGGAGGAGCUUGCUUCUCUGGAUGAGUUGCGAACGGGUGAGUAACGCGUAGGUAACCUGCCUGGUAGCGGGGGAUAACUAUUGGAAACGAUAGCUAAUACCGCAUAAUAGUAGAUGUUGCAUGACAUUUGCUUAAAAGGUGCACUUGCAUCACUACCAGAUGGACCUGCGUUGUAUUAGCUAGUUGGUGAGGUAACGGCUCACCAAGGCAACGAUACAUAGCCGACCUGAGAGGGUGAUCGGCCACACUGGGACUGAGACACGGCCCAGACUCCUACGGGAGGCAGCAGUAGGGAAUCUUCGGCAAUGGACGGAAGUCUGACCGAGCAACGCCGCGUGAGUGAAGAAGGUUUUCGGAUCGUAAAGCUCUGUUGUAAGAGAAGAACGAGUGUGAGAGUGGAAAGUUCACACUGUGACGGUAUCUUACCAGAAAGGGACGGCUAACUACGUG
RNAcentral lists this ribosomal RNA (495 nucleotides) under uncultured bacterium. Its description in RNAcentral is "partial 16S ribosomal RNA". It matches the Rfam family "Bacterial small subunit ribosomal RNA", at positions 28 to 507 of the family's 1533-position model. The record is from RNAcentral.